Molecule: non-coding RNA, 298 nt
Filed under: Chloroflexota bacterium
Lineage: Bacteria; Bacillati; Chloroflexota
Description: Chloroflexi bacterium T-box sequence
Rfam family: T-box leader
About the family: Uncharged tRNA acts as the effector for transcription antitermination of genes in the T-box leader family. T-boxes are found upstream of many aminoacyl-tRNA synthetase genes and some amino acid biosynthetic genes usually in Gram-positive bacteria.
Source: RNAcentral
UCAAAGACUGUGAAGAGGACGAGUACGCGCUGAAACCGCAGUACAGAGAGCAGGGCAAGGUGAGAGCCUGCCUGUAUGCCAGCGAAGAAUGGGCCUUGGAGUUGCAGGGCGAAGGAACCAGAAGGUUCUUGUAGCCUGUGCCGGAGAUGCCACCGUUAUCAGGGUAAAGGAUGUCGAUCAUCAUGGAUCCGCAUCCGCAAGAGUGUGGCUGGCAUUUACCCCGUCGUCAACAUCGGCGGGGUUUUAAUUAUAGCUACAAACUAGGGUGGCACCACGGGCAGCCCCUCCCGUCCCUCAG